Molecule: long non-coding RNA, 4344 nt
Organism: Mercenaria mercenaria
Lineage: Eukaryota; Metazoa; Mollusca; Bivalvia; Venerida; Veneridae
Exons: 2
Source: RefSeq, a predicted model, not a curated record
GCAAUAGUUUUCUUUUUCCGUUUAUCAACGUAACAAUAGAUUCCUUAGAAUGCUAUUUAAUUUCAAGUUAGAAUCAUCUCGCUGGCUUUUAGAACGUCGACGGUUCCUACCCAGGUGCCCGUCGGUGCUUCAAAAAAUACCCGGAAGGGCAUCUGAACCUUCAUCUUAAGGAUGUACGAUCGAAUUUUUUCUAACAGUUAGAAUUUUUUCAUACUCUGUGAGCUUGAAGAACAUUAGUUUUCAAGACAAACAAGAGAAGAAAAAACAUAGGUCACCGAACUCGUUUUAAUUUUAUAGGGCAUUUUGUACACCCACUGUUUAAGCAUUUCUGAAAUUUUGUAAAAUUGAAAAAAUGGUUGUACUUUAUAAAACAUAUAAUAUCCCAUUUAAUGUUAUAGGGAUUUCAUGUCUUACAGGUUAAUAUGAAUACAAGGUGAUGUCAGUAUUAUAUAAGCAUAAAUGUCACAAACAAAUCUCUUUCAUUUUUACAUGUUGACAUAAUUACCCCGCCCACUUUAUUUUCAAUGGAAAAAAUGUAUUUAGAUCUACAAAAAAAUUUCUGACGGUAAGAUUUUAAAAAUAUUUUGCAACUUUAAUGACGCACAAAAAUGUUUUAAAAUGGAAAGAAAAAAAGUAGGGGUCACCGUGCAUCUAAGAGAUUUAUUAAGAAAAAACUGUCAAAAACUGGUGAAUUUUGAUAUUUUGUGUUCUUUUUUAUUUAAUUUAUAUUUUCCAGAUAAAAUAAAGAGAUAUCUUGAAAUUUUUUAUUUCAUUUAUAGCUUAUCAUUACAUGUAUCAGUCAGGAAAAUAUCAAAACGAAACCUGAUCUAGUUUCAUAGAUAUUUGAAAUUACCUACCCCUACCCCGUUGUAAAACUUACGUCAAUUUUAGACAAAUGCCAGCCAAAAAUAAGGGUGAAAUUUUUUUUUUCGUAAAAAGCAGAAUCCAUUUGCUUAAAUGGUACUUUAUUAGCCAUAUUUUAAUGAUUUAGCAUUAAUUUUCGGCAAAACUUUUGUUGGAAGGCAAUAUUUGAAGAAACAUUUUUCAAAAUGGCGGAUAUCCUGAAAAAAAAAAACGCUCGUACAUCCUUAAAGGGAAUUCCUAUAAUUUUUUAUGCGCAUCUUUCUGCGCAGCCGACACUUUCUAUGGAAAACUGAAAUGAAGUCAACAUUUUGUUGAAACAUGUUACAGACAAUCUUAAAUAUGAGGAAUUUUGAAUGAAAUAACAUUUUUGAUAAGUUAUAUCAGUAAUCAAAUGUUGAUACUGGUUUAUCUUGUAUUGACAAGUAUCAUGCCUGACAGGUAUCUUGCUAUUUUUGUGGUUGUGUUUUCACAUCGCAUUUUAGUACAAAGACAGUGUUGUUCAUAUAAUGUAAGAUAAUUGACUUAGUACUGAUAAGACAAUAUCGCCUUUCAGAUUAUUAAGUAUUCAAUUAUAGAAAGAAUUAAGAAUUUUUAAAACUUUUAUUUAACUUUUAGCAGACAUAGAUGAAAUCAAUUUGGCCAGGUUCGCGCCAUUUCCGUCCGAACAGGUGUUGUAUUCUAGCGGUCUUAACAUAAAAUUUAGCCUGGUGACCCAUACAUUUUUAGCCAUUUUUAUGCUCACAAUACAAUUAUCUAUACACAAGAAGAAAAAGAAAAAAUUCUAUGAAAGAGUUUUUUCAAAAUUUAAAAAUAAUAUUCUUCACUAUGGGUAUUUUUCAUUGAAAAAAGUUCACAAAAGUAAAUAUGAAACAAUAUUUUUUUUUCAUUUGUACCCAUUAUUGUAAGGAUAGAGUAUUACAAAUAUGAUUAUGAUAUCAAAUAAGUAUAUAAUAAAAUCUGUGAAAAGAAAAAACCGUAUUGUGCUGCCUGGAUGUAUAUUUUGGUUGGUAUUUAUAAAAAAGCAGAAAAUUAUGAAAAUGUUGAAAAAUCGCUGGCAGUUUCAGCAAAAGUGGGUGUGUUCAAAACAAUUUUUCACAAAAACAAGCCUGGUGACCUAUUGUUUUUAUUUGUUCAUUGUUUUCAGCACAAAUUUUCCUAUCAUAUAUGUGAAUUUAAAAAAAAUCUAUGAAAGGAAAAAAACUAUAGGAAUUCUCUUUAAGCUAGAAAGACGCCAAAUGAGCAAAAAUUUACCGGUUUGACUCCAAACAAAACAGACAAUAAAACGAAUGAUAUAAUUACAUUUUAGACAUCGAAAGAUCUGCAAGAGAACAAAAAUUCGACAAAAGCUCUUGAUGGAAUAUACUACGUGGCUCUUGUGGCAUCAUCUUUGUCGUUAUUGUUAAAGGUAGCAACAUUAGUUCUAGGCAUCAUCGUCUGUCGUAAUAUCGGAAACAGAGCUAACACAACAGAGGAGUCUCGUAAUGUUACCACUGAAGAAGAAGUCGCUGUAACUUCUUUCAAUAAUACAGAACCGAAGCAAAGAAGUGACGGGCUUGAGUCAUCCAUGUGUUGAUAGGAAUAAUAGAACUUAUAUUGCAUCAUAAUUCCAUAUGAAGGUAGAAUGGAUUUGACUUUAGAUAUUGACAUCACGGCAAACUAAAAAUGAGAACUUGUAUUAUAGUGGUUAUAUGUUUCUGUUGAUAAAGAGCCUUAAAGAGAUACAACAUAUGCUAGAGACUUUGAAAAUUCCUUGUCAUUACCUAAUUGGUACAGGUAACCACCGGGAUACCAUCAAUUUUAUUACCUCAUUGCUACCGUUACUUAGUUACCAUAUUUUUUAUCAAUCCUGAGAAGAAUGAACACAACGGUAAACAUUGUCAUCGUUAAAGGAUUUUUGACGCACAGAGGAGAAGCACAAACGUGAUUCAAUGACUUGUUUCUAUUUAUUAAAUGGUGUUACACAUAUUUGUUUCUUUGAAAUCUAAAUCAAGGAUAUUUACCUGUUACGAUGGUCCAAAAAACUUACCGAAAGGCGGGCCUGAACUCGUGACAAUCUUACAGUCAUUGAUUUUGUUCUUCUGAAACCUUUCAGAAAAUCAUUGGAAAGGAAACUAGAUGUAUAAUUUGACAAUACAGUUUAGUAGACAAUAUCUGAAAGAACGCAGUUGGCAAAUAGCAUUUUGCAUUAACUGUUUGUCAUAAAGUAGUCCUUCGCGAACCAGCCUUCCAUAAAAAUAUUAAAUUAAUAAUAUAAAAACUUCUUAAUAUGUCACUUACACGUUCGAGGAACGAGUGAGUAGAAAUGCAUUUCAACGGAAGGCCGGUGCGCCUUGUUAAUUGUCGUUUGCCAAAUGCAAAAUGCUAUUUGCCGAAUGCUUAAUAUCAAAUAUUGAUUGUCAAAUGAAAAAUUCUAAAUAUCUGAAAGAACGCAGUUGGCAAAUAGCAUUUUGCAUUAACUGUUUGUCAUAAAGUAGUCCUUCGCGAACCAGCCUUCCAUAAAAAUAUUAAAUUAAUAAUAUAAAAACUUCUUAAUAUUUCACUUACACGUUCGAGGAACGAGUGAGUAGAAAUGCAUUUCAACGGAAGGCCGGUGCACCUUGUUAAUUGUUGUUUGCUAAAUGCAAAAUGCUAUUUGCCGAAUGCUUAAUAUCAAAUAUUGAUUGUCAAAUGAAAAAUUCUAAAUGUUGAUAGUGAAAUGCAAUAAUGGAUAAUUUUAAUAAAUUAAUAUAUGAAUGCGUCUUUUCAACAGUCUUUUGGCCUUCGUGAAAUAACAUUGUCUUGGUAAAAAACGUUUAAACAUUUUUGUGUAAAUAGUGUCGAUACGAAUUACAAUUACAUAAAAAACGAUCAAUUUCUAAUUGGCCACGCAGACAAGUACAGCUGUAUGAAGCAAUUACGUAACAUUUCGGAUGAAGUUUUUUUCUAUAAAUAUAAUAAUUCCAGCGCAAUGAUAUCACCUUUUUAAAAUGAGAUAAUUUAUAUAGACAUUUUGCACGGGCCAAAAAAAAAAAAAACGCCAAAAAAUCUCAAAGUCAUGGGUUGUUCAAAACAUUUACAUGCACUCCUUCAAUUUUGACCUUUGUUUUAUAUGGAACAUCUUUUUUGGUGCGAAGGCCUGCCAGGCAAAACGUCUGAAGUGUGUCCUUGCAAAAAAUGCAGAUCAGCGACACUUGCUGCAGAAAACACACUGCUGAGCAGCUCCGUUUAAAUCUGCCUCCAAAAUUAAUGACUAACUAAAUUUAUUAAUCCAGAUGUCACACAAUAUUCGCAUCUGCUAUUUAAAGCAACACAUAUGCACUCAGUAAUGAUCUUCGAAUUUCAUUCAUUAAUUAAAACAUUUACAUUAAUACUCUUUGAACAAAGUUACCACAGAUAUUUAAGAAUCUACGAUGGUCAUCAUUCAGAACUGUUCUCGGACCACUUUUAGCUUUUGUAUAUGUCGUUUUGUAAAUACCCAUGCAAUUAUAAUUUACAAAUUCG